Molecule: microRNA precursor, 136 nt
Filed under: Hordeum vulgare
Lineage: Eukaryota; Viridiplantae; Streptophyta; Magnoliopsida; Poales; Poaceae
Description: microRNA MIR1122
Rfam family: MIR1120/MIR1122 microRNA precursor family
Source: RNAcentral
GUUGUACUCCCUCCGUUCCAAAAUUCUUGUCUUAAAUUUAUUUAGAUAUGAAUGUAUCUAGUUAUAUUUUAAUAGUUUGAUACAUCUAUUUUUGGACAAUGCUAAGACACAAAAUUUGGGACGGAGGGAGUAUACA